AAGCUCAAGGGCGUCCAAAUCUUGCCAAUGGCAUUUCCCUGUACGUUAGCAUUGACCUGAAAAAUACAUAAGUAGGGUAGCAACCUGGAGUUUGGCUGGCUGUUAGUACGUCGACGGAAAGCAGCCGGUU
This 130-nucleotide non-coding RNA is filed under the name unclassified sequences. The record is from Rfam.